Molecule: long non-coding RNA, 3761 nt
Organism: Eriocheir sinensis (Chinese mitten crab)
Lineage: Eukaryota; Metazoa; Arthropoda; Malacostraca; Decapoda; Varunidae
Exons: 4
Source: RefSeq, a predicted model, not a curated record
UUUCGCUUCACUGUACAACCUGCAUGCAGUCAAGGUGUGUCAGUUACUGCGUUUAUCUCUCUCACUUUGCCCUUGAACGUCCAGGCUCAGGCAACAUGGCCGCGUGUGUGACCUCGAGGUUAUAUGGAAACUCAAAUUUGUUGACGUGUUGUUUUUUUAUGUCUGGGACCAAGUGUGUGGCAAUGUGGGCGUGUGGAACGGCGUCAAAUAUCUGUUGUCCCCGCCAUGUUAGGCCUUGGAUCAGAUAUGUUGGAGGUGACAGUGUUUAGGAGAUGAUCAACAGAUGAGGGGAGGAGGAAGAGGGAAGGAGGGAAAUAAUUAAUGAAAAAAAAAAUGAAUAUAAGAAGGAAAGUAUCGUCCCCGUCAUGUUAGGCUUUGUAUGGAGUAUGUAAAAGGUAACAAUAUAUAGGAAACGAUCGCCAGUUGACAGGAAGAAGAGGGAGGAAACUGGAAGAAGGAAAAAAAUAAAACAGGAAAACAGCGAGAAGGAAAAUAUAUGUUGUCUCCGUCAUGUUAGGCUUUGUAUGGAGUAAGUAAAAGAUAGCAAUAUAUAGGAAACGAUCGCCAGUUGACAGGAAGAAGAGGGAGGAAAACGGAGGAAGGAAAAAAUGAAAACGGUAAGGAAAACAGCGAGAAGGAAAAUAUAUCUUGUACCCGCCAUGUUAGGCUUUGUAUGGAGUAAGUAAAAGAUAGCAAUGUAUAGGAAACGAUCGCCAGUUGACAGGAAGAAGAGGGAGGAAAACGGAGGAAGGAAAAAAAUUAAAACGGUAAGGAAAACAGCGAGAAGGAAAAUAUAUCUUGUCCCCGUCAUGUUAGGCUUUGUAUGGAGUAUGUAAAAGAUAACAUGUGUAGGAAAGAAUCGCCAUUUGACAGAAGGAAAAGGAAAGAAGGAAUAUCAAAUCAAAGCACAAAUCGAACCAAAAAGGAAAAUAUGUGUUGUCCCCGUUAUGUUAGACUUUGAAUUUGAUCUGUAAUGAGAAUGUGUUAAGAAUGAUCGCCUGGAAAGAGGAGGAGGAGGGAAGAAGGGAAGAAAAAAAAGGACACAAGAAGAAAAGAAAAUUAAGGAAAAAAGGAAAACAAGAAGGAAUUGAAGAAGGGAAAGAAAAUAUAAUGUGACGAUAAGAAUAGAAAUAAAGAGGAAGAAGAACAAGAACGAUUCCUUAAGCCAUAGAAGUGUAUAGAUCAUUGUGUAGACGAUCUUAUGAGGUGGAGGGGAAGAAAUGAAGAAGAAAACAAGAAGAAGAAGAAAAAGAAAAUAGAAAGCAAGGAUAGGAAUAAAGAGGAACAAGAAUAAAAAAAAGAACAAUAUCCUGACCCAUAGAAGUAUAUAGAUCUUUGUGCAAACGAUCUUAUAAGGUGGAAGGGAAGCAGGGAAGAAGAAAACAAGAAGGAGAAGAAGGAAAAGAAAAUAGAAAGCGAGGAUAAGAAUAGGAAAAAGAGGAACAAGAACAAGACCAUUCCCCUUUGUGUAGACGAUCUUAUAAGGUGGAAGCGAAGCAGGAAGGAAAACAACAACAGGAAGGAGAAGAAGGAAAAGAAAAUAGAAAGCGAGGAUAAGAAUAGGAAUAAAGAGGAACAAGAAUAAAAACAAGAACAAUUUCCAAACACAUAGAAGCAUAUAGAUUGAGCAGGCGUUCUCAUGUGGUGGAGGGAGAGUCUGUUAUAGUGAAGCCAAAUUGUCGAGUCCCUUUCGGCGCUGGCUCCCGCGGGUCCAUUUCUCCCCUCUGCUCUGCCACACAGUCCCAACACCUAUUUUUUCCUCUCAUAUGUUACCUAUAGCUUACAUAUGAGAGGAAGAGAUAGGUGUUGGGAUUGUGUGGCAGAGCAGAGGGGAGGAAAAGACCCGCGGGAGCCUACGCCAGACCGGCCUCGACAUAUUCGGAAGACUAUAGUUCGUUCGUUUGUAUAGACAUCCGUUUUUUCUGGGCAGUGAGUGUCUCCAUUAACUAAAGCUGUCUACAGAUCCCUGAUAAGAUAAUGUCCACUAAAGGUUAAGAAAGAGGGUUUUUUUUAUGGCUGGGAAGGGAGAGAGUGAAAGUAAAGUGAAGUGGAAGAGGAAGAAGAAGUGGAAGACGGAGAAAAAGAAGAAAAAGCGAGAUGGUGAAAGUGAAGUGGAAGACGAAGAAAAAGAAGAAAAAGGGAGAUGGUGAAAGUAAAGUGAAGUGGAAGAGGAAGUGGAAGACGAAGAAAAAGAAGAAAAAGGGAGAUGGUGAAAGUAAAGUGAAGUGGAAGAGGAAGUGGAAGACGAAGAAAAAGAAGAAAAAGGGAGAUGGUGAAAGUGAAGUGGAAGAGGAAGUGGAAGACGAAGAAAAAGAAGAAAAAGGGAGAUGGUGAAAGUGAAGUGGAAGAGGAAGUGGAAGACGAAAAAAAUGAAGAAAAAGGGAGAUGGUGAAAGCGAAGUGAAGUGGAAGAGGAAGAAGAGGAAGUGGAAGACGAAAGGCAAGAAGAAAAAGAGGAAGAAGAAAAUAAAAAAAGAGGAAGAAGAAAAUAAGGAAGAAGAAAAAGAAAAAAAAGAGGAAUAAGAAAAAAAGAAAAACGAAAAGGAAAAAAAGAAAAAGGAGAAAAAGAAAAGAGAAACAAGAAGAAGAAGAAUACGAACAACAGCAGCAACAACAAACAAAAAAAAACGUGUAUAUUAACUAGCAGCAUCUUGUAAUAUCUGAAACACAUAUUCUCAAACAUUUCUGGGCUCACAAACCUACACUGGACAAGGCUUCCGUAGAGGUUGUGUCAGUAUUUCAUUAGGUAGAAGUCUUAUGAGCCUAGUAAUAGUUUGACAAGGCUUCUGUAGAGGUUGUAUUAGUAUUUCAUUAGGAAGAAGUUUAAUGAGCCUAGUGAUAAUUUGACAAGGCUUCCGUAGAGGUUGUAUUAGUAUUUCAUUAGGUAGAAGUCUAAUGAGCCUAGUAAUAGUUUGACAAGGCUUCCGUAGAGGUUGUGUUAGUAGUUUGACAAGGCUUCCGUAGAGGUUGUAUUAGUAUUUCAUUAGAAAGAAGUCUAAUGAGCUUAGUAAUAGUUUGACAAGGCUUCCGUAGAGGUUGUAUUAGUAGUUUGACAAGGUUUGUAGAGGUUGCGUUACUAUAUCCAUGGGUACUAGUUUGACAAGGCUUCUGCACCGUGCAUGUAAGAAAACACUCAUUAGAACCCGACUAACCUCCUUCGUGACCUUUGAAAUAUUGGUUGGUAAAGGUUGUGUUAGUAUUUCCAUGGGUAGUAGUUUUACGAGCCAAGUGAUAGUUUGAAAAGGCUUCUGCACCAUGAACUUGAAAAACACUCAUAAGAACGUGGCUAACCUUUUUGACCUUUGGAAAUGUUGGUUGGUCAAGGUUGUGUUAGUGUUUCCAUGUGUAGUAUUUUAAUGAGCCUAGUGAUAGUGUGACAAGGCUUCUGAACCGUGAACUUGAAAAACACUAAUGAGAAUCCGACUAAUCUUGUGGCCUUGGGAAAUAUUGGUUGGUAAAGGUUGUGUUAGUAUUUCCAUGUGUAGUAUUUUAAUGAGCCAGGUGAUAGUGUGACAAGGCUUCUGCACCGUGAACUUGAAAAACACUAAUGAGAAUCCGACUAAUCUUGUGGUCUUGGGAAAUAUUGGUUGGUCAAGGUUGUGUUAGUAUUUUCAUGGGUAGUAGUUUUAAGAGCCUAGUGAUAGUGUGACAAGGCUUCUGAACCGUGAACUUGAAAAACACUAAUGAGAAUCCGACUAAUCAUGUGGCCUUGGGAAAUAUUGGUUGGUAAAGGUUGUGUUAGUAUUUUCAUGGGUAGUAGUU